UUGUUAAAUACACACAAGGAAGACAAUCAUUUAAACGUUUUGAGAACAAUGUUGAAGCAGAAACGGUUGUCUCUUAUGAGGUCGAUAAGAUUUGGGAAAACAGAGAUGCUGAUCACAUUAUAAGAAUCACAGUAGACGAUCUGGACGAAGA
Mytilus californianus (California mussel) is the source of this 151-nucleotide long non-coding RNA. RefSeq lists it as uncharacterized. NCBI's taxonomy places the organism in Eukaryota, Metazoa, Mollusca, Bivalvia, Mytilida, Mytilidae. The transcript is spliced from 2 exons. The record is from RefSeq and is a predicted model, not a curated record.